GAUGAACGCUGACAGAAUGCUUAACACAUGCAAGUCUUUGGCGAAUCUGUGCUUGCACAGGCUAGCCAAGGCGGACGGGUGAGUAACGCGUAAAGAACUUGCCCUGCAGACAGGGAUAACAGACGGAAACGACUGAUAACACCUGAUACAGUUGCCGGCACGCAUGUGCCUGGCAAUGAAAAGAGAUGCUGCAGGAGAGCUUUGCGUCCUAUUAGCUUGUUGGUGAGGUGACGGCUCACCAAGGCGAUGAUAGGUAGCCGGCCGGAGAGGGUGAACGGCCACAAGGGGACUGAGAUACGGCCCUUACUCCUACGGGAGGCCGCAGUGGGGAAUAUUGGACAAUGGGGGCAACCCUGAUCCAGCAAUUCUGUGUGCACGAAGAAGGUUUUCGGAUUGUAAAGUGCUUUCAGCAGGGAAGAAGACAGUGACGGUACCUGCAGAAGAAGCGACGGCUAAAUACGUG
This 463-nucleotide ribosomal RNA is filed under the name uncultured bacterium. RNAcentral's name for it is "partial 16S ribosomal RNA". It matches the Rfam family "Bacterial small subunit ribosomal RNA", at positions 28 to 507 of the family's 1533-position model. The record is from RNAcentral.